GAUGAACGCUGGCGGCGUGCCUAAUACAUGCAAGUCGAGCGAACGGACGAGAAGCUUGCUUCUCUGAUGUUAGCGGCGGACGGGUGAGUAACACGUGGAUAACCUACCUAUAAGACUGGGAUAACUUCGGGAAACCGGAGCUAAUACCGGAUGAUAUUUUGAACCGCAUGGUUCAAAAGUGAAAGACGGUCUUGCUGUCACUUAUAGAUGGAUCCGCGCUGCAUUAGCUAGUUGGUAAGGUAACGGCUUACCAAGGCAACGAUGCAUAGCCGACCUGAGAGGGUGAUCGGCCACACUGGAACUGAGACACGGUCCAGACUCCUACGGGAGGCAGCAGUAGGGAAUCUUCCGCAAUGGGCGAAAGCCUGGCGGAGCAACGCCGCGUGAGUGAUGAAGGUCUUCGGAUCGUAAAACUCUGUUAUUAGGGAAGAACAUAUGUGUAAGUAACUGUGCACAUCUUGACGGUACCUAAUCAGAAAGCCACGGCUAACUACGUG
Molecule: ribosomal RNA, 497 nt
Filed under: uncultured bacterium
Lineage: Bacteria
Description: partial 16S ribosomal RNA
Rfam family: Bacterial small subunit ribosomal RNA
Source: RNAcentral